UUUCCGGUUGAUCCUGCCCGGACCCCACUGCUAUCGAGAUAGGACUAAGACAUGCUAGUUGAGCGCCUCCCAGCCACGACGGAGGCGCAGCGUACAGCUCAGUAACACGUGGCUAACCUGCCCUUGGGACGGGAAUACCCCCGGGAAACUGGGGCUAAUCCCCGAUAGGUGAAGAACUCUGGAAUGGGUCUCCACCCAAAAGACGCUUAAAUCAUGCUUUUAGGCGCCGCCCAAGGAUGGGGCCGCGACCGAUCAGGUAGUUGGUGAGGCAAUGGCUCACCAAGCCUUUUACCGGUGCGGGCCGUGAGAGCGGGAGCCCGGAGAUGGGCACUGAGACAAGGGCCCAGGCCCUACGGGGCGCAGCAGUCGCGAAAACUUUGCAAUACACGAAAGUGUGACAGGGCUAUCCCGAGUGCCAUCCGCUGAGGAAGGCUUUUACCCAGUUUAGCAAGCUGGGGGAAUAAGGAGAGGGCAAGUCUGGUGUCAGCCGCCGCGGUAAUACCAGCUCUCCGAGUGGUGUGGAUGUUUAUUGGGCCUAAAGCAUCCGUAGCUGGCCAAGUUAGUCCCCUGUUAAAUCCACUGAUUUAAUCAUUGGCGUGCGGGGGAUACUGCUCGGCUAGGGGACGAGAGAGGCAGACGGUAUUUUCGGGGUAGGGGUGAAAUCCUAUAAUCCCGGAAAGACCACCAGUGGCGAAGGCUGUCUGCUAGAACGCGCCCGACGGUGAGGGAUGAAAGCUGGGGGAGCGAACCGGAUUAGAUACCCGGGUAGUCCCAGCUGUAAACGAUGCAGGCUAGGUGUUUGGACGGCCACGUGCCGUUCUAGUGCCGCAGGGAAGCUGUUAAGCCUGCCGCCUGGGGAGUACGAUCGCAAGAUUGAAACUUAAAGGAAUUGGCGGGGGAGCACCACAAGGGGUGAAGCUUGCGGUUUAAUUGGAUUCAACGCCGGA
Molecule: ribosomal RNA, 947 nt
Filed under: uncultured archaeon
Lineage: Archaea
Description: bacterial SSU rRNA
Rfam family: Archaeal small subunit ribosomal RNA
Source: RNAcentral